AUUGAACGCUGGCGGCAUGCCUUACACAUGCAAGUCGAACGGUAACAGGUCUUCGGAUGCUGACGAGUGGCGAACGGGUGAGUAAUAUAUCGGAACGUGCCCAGUCGUGGGGGAUAACGCAGCGAAAGCUGUGCUAAUACCGCAUACGAUCUAGGGAUGAAAGCGGGGGAUCGCAAGACCUCGCGCAAUUGGAGCGGCCGAUAUCAGAUUAGGUAGUUGGUGGGGUAAAGGCCUACCAAGCCAACGAUCUGUAGCUGGUCUGAGAGGACGACCAGCCACACUGGAACUGAGACACGGUCCAGACUCCUACGGGAGGCAGCAGUGGGGAAUUUUGGACAAUGGGCGCAAGCCUGAUCCAGCAAUGCCGCGUGCAGGAUGAAGGCCUUCGGGUUGUAAACUGCUUUUGUACGGAACGAAAAGGCUCUGGUUAAUACCUGGGGCUCAUGACGGUACCGUAAGAAUAAGCACCGGCUAACUACGUGCCAGCCGCCGCCGUAA
This 498-nucleotide ribosomal RNA is filed under the name uncultured bacterium. RNAcentral describes it as "partial 16S ribosomal RNA". It matches the Rfam family "Bacterial small subunit ribosomal RNA", at positions 30 to 523 of the family's 1533-position model. The record is from RNAcentral.